UGSGGCAGGCCUACACAUGCAAGUCGARCGGAUGAASGRAGCUUGCUCCUGGAUUCRGCGGCGGACGGGUGAGUAAUGCCUAGGAAUCUGCCUGGUAGUGGGGGAUAACGUCCGGAAACGGGCGCUAAUACCGCAUACGUCCUGAGGGAGAAAGUGGGGGAUCUUCGGACCUCRCGCUAUCAGAUGAGCCUAGGUCGGAUUAKCUAGUUGGUGGGGUAAAGGCCUACCMAGGCSACGAUCCGUAWCUGGUCUGAGAGGAUGAUCAGUCACACUGGAACUGAGACACGGUCCAGACUCCUACGGSAGGCAGCAGUGGGGAAUAUUGGACAAUGGGCGAAAGCCUGAUCCAGCCRUGCCSCGUGUGUGAAGAAGGUCUUCGGAUUGUAAAGCACUUUAAGUUGGGAGGAAGGGCAGURAGUUAAUACCUUGCUGUUUUGACGUUAYCRACASAAUAAGCACCGGCUAACUUCGUGCCAGCAGCCGCGGUAAUACGAAGGGUGCAAGCGUUAAUCGGAAUUACUGGGCGUAAAGCGCGCGUAGGUGGUUCAGCAAGUUGGAUGUGAAAUCCCCGGGCUCAACCUGGGAACUGCAUCCRAAACUACUGAGCUAGAGUACGGUAGAGGGUGGUGGAAUUUCMUGUGUAGCGGUGAAAUGCRUAGAUAUAGGAAUGAACACCAGUGGCGAGCGACMCUGGACUGAUACUGACACUGAGUGCGAAGCGUGGGAGCGAAMGAUAGAUACCCUGCUAGUCAGUCGUAACGAUKUCAACUAGCCKKKUGGGAWCCUKMMRAAUCUUUWAUUGAGC
Molecule: ribosomal RNA, 805 nt
Filed under: Pseudomonas aeruginosa
Lineage: Bacteria; Pseudomonadati; Pseudomonadota; Gammaproteobacteria; Pseudomonadales; Pseudomonadaceae
Description: partial 16S ribosomal RNA
Source: RNAcentral